AUUGAACGCUGGCGGCAGGCCUAACACAUGCAAGUCGAACGGUAACAGGAGGCAGCUUCUGCUUUGCUGACGAGUGGCGGACGGGUGAGUAAUGUCUGGGAAACUGCCUGAUGGAGGGGGAUAACUACUGGAAACGGUAGCUAAUACCGCAUAACGUCGCAAGACCAAAGAGGGGGACCUUAGGGCCUCUUGCCAUCGGAUGUGCCCAGAUGGGAUUAGCUAGUAGGUGGGGUAACGGCUCACCUAGGCGACGAUCCCUAGCUGGUCUGAGAGGAUGACCAGCCACACUGGAACUGAGACACGGUCCAGACUCCUACGGGAGGCAGCAGUGGGGAAUAUUGCACAAUGGGCGCAAGCCUGAUGCAGCCAUGCCGCGUGUAUGAAGAAGGCCUUCGGGUUGUAAAGUACUUUCAGCGGGGAGGAAGGGAGUAAAGUUAAUACCUUUGCUCAUUGACGUUACCCGCAGAAGAAGCACCGGCUAACUCCGUG
Molecule: ribosomal RNA, 489 nt
Filed under: uncultured bacterium
Lineage: Bacteria
Description: partial 16S ribosomal RNA
Rfam family: Bacterial small subunit ribosomal RNA
Source: RNAcentral